UAUUGGUCAAUGUGCGCAAGCCUGAACCAGCCAUGCCGCGUGCAGGAAGACGGCCCUAUGGUUGUAAACUGCUUUUGUCAGGGAAUAAACCCCCGCUCGUGAGCGGGGCAGAAGGUACCUGAAGAAUAAGCAUCGGCUAACUCCGUGCCAGCAGCCGCGGUAAUACGGAGGAUGCAAGCGUUAUCCGGAUUCAUUGGGUUUAAAGGGUGCGCAGGCGGAUUGGUAAGUCAGGGGUGAAAUCCCACAGCUCAACUGUGGAACUGCCUUUGAUACUGUCAGUCUAGAGUAGAGUUGAAGUGGGCGGAAUGUGUCAUGUAGCUGUGAAAUGCUUAGAUAUGGCACAGAACACCGAUCGCGAAGGCAGCUCGCUAAGCUAUAACUUACGCUCAUGCACGAAAGCGUGGGGAUCAAACAG
RNAcentral lists this ribosomal RNA (415 nucleotides) under uncultured bacterium. Its description in RNAcentral is "bacterial SSU rRNA". It matches the Rfam family "Bacterial small subunit ribosomal RNA", at positions 362 to 775 of the family's 1533-position model. The record is from RNAcentral.